Molecule: non-coding RNA, 1554 nt
Organism: Amborella trichopoda
Lineage: Eukaryota; Viridiplantae; Streptophyta; Magnoliopsida; Amborellales; Amborellaceae
Source: RefSeq, a predicted model, not a curated record
AUAUAUAUAUAUAUAUAUAUAUAAAAGACCCUAUCUCCAAAACCCUAGCUUCCCUUGGCUCCUCUUUUUUUUUUAUUCAAUUAGGAGAGGAUUCCUACUGCAACUGGCUAAUUUGGAUUGCCUGCAGUAAUUUUUUUAUUCAAUUCUUGUGAUUUAUUUUUUAUAAUUUGAUUGCAAAAUUUGGAUUGCCUGCAAUUUCUUCUCUCAGAGAUGUGACUUUUUUCUGCAGUAGACUAUGCGUAUUCAUGGGGGCCAUUGUUGCUUGUUUGUUGGACUGCAUCUUCUAAUUUGUGAUUUUAGUUAUUAGUGUUUUCUAAGUUUGGUUUCAAGUUUUCUCCACAUGUGGGUUUUGGUUUUAUUGAUGGCUUGUUCUAUUGUGUAGGCCAUUGUUGUUCGUUCUAUGCCCCUGCAUCAUCGAAUUUGUAAUUUUUGUUAAUAUUUAUAGUUUUCAUCGCAUGUGGUUUUUGGAUUGAUCGGUCUUCGCUCUUUGUGCCUUUCGUAGUUUUCACUUCUCAUUGUUUUGCUCCAGUAAGGGAGUCCUGCAAUUGUAAUUGGAACAGCUGUUCGAUUGUUUUGAUACUCAAUUUAUUGGCAUUAAAACAAUGGAAUGCUUUCUUCUAUUUUUCAAGCAAUGGGUUUGGCUUGAUUUGAAAAUAGGGUCUAACUUUUGGGAACUUAUGGCAAUCAGAGGUGUUUUACUUUGUGAUUUACAAAACUUAUGGAAAGCAGAGGUGCUUCACUUUGUGAUUUACCAAUUUCAUCUGUUAUUCUGUGUCCCUUUGAUUUCUGUUUGGGAUUGCGUUUUUAGGAAAAUGAGAUAUUCCUUCAUACCUUAGUGGCCUGUAGAAUUCACUUCAAUCGAAUUUGGGUGUCCUUAGUUUCAAUAUUUUGGAAUUUAAUUAUAAAAAAACAUUUGUCCCAAGUUCAUUAAGACUGUAAUUUAUCUGUCUCUCUAAGGCACCGAAGAUCAAAAGAAGCUCCUUCUGGUUUUAUGCAAAUUGGUGGAAAUAUUAAAAGCUAGUUGAGUGGAUGGUAUUUGAAGGGGGUAGGGGUUCUGCAGGUCACCUCUGAAACUCCUAUAGUCCUAUGAUCCCUAAUAACUUAAAGCCAAAGAAGUUUCUAAGGAUGGAAGCGGAGCAAAGACAUAGGCUCACUCUCUCCGAUGAACUCUCGGUUCUGCAAUUGCUGCAGAACCUUCGAGACCUCCUCAGAGCUGCUGCCCAAGAACCCAACAACACCAACCAUGAAAUCCAAAACACCUCUUCCAGAAGUGGAACCUGAAGAUGAAUGGAAGACUGGAUAAGAAAGGAAUUGAAUUCCAUUGAGUGAAUUCAAUGAAUAUUUUCCUUGGCCAUCAUCGAAUUCAGAUGGCAUCACCCAUACAUGUUUCUUUUUACUUCAUGUCUUUGCAACUUUGGUGGCAAUCAUUUGGUUCAUUUGAUCUUCUGAUUAAUACAAUAUGUGUAAUCCAUUGUUUUCAAGACUCUUGUAUCGGCAAGAGUCAUAGUGAUUAUUUGGAAUAAUAUUCAGUCUACAUCAAGGGAAUUAGAUAUC